Molecule: long non-coding RNA, 533 nt
Organism: Trichomycterus rosablanca
Lineage: Eukaryota; Metazoa; Chordata; Actinopteri; Siluriformes; Trichomycteridae
Exons: 4
Source: RefSeq, a predicted model, not a curated record
CAUUGUUUGGAGGAUGCGUUGUGUGAACCAAUGUAACAGCGGGAUGUUAACGGUGCUACAGUUUUAAUAUCACACCCGAACUGUUACUCACGAGGAUUCACGCGCAUUCCUGGAACUCGUCCGUGGAUUGCAUGUUUUCGUUCCACGCGUGGGUGCAGGAAACGACACGUUCCUGGGAGACGAGAACUUCAUAAAUCCAUGACAGGCGUGUCAACAUGAGUGUGGUGAAAUGGGUACUAAGACCAUAAAUAUACUCAACAAGUUUGUAAAACGGGUGGAUUGCCACCUUCCCAUCGAUGUGCCAUUGAUAUCCUUAAGCAAAACCCAAAAUUGCAGAAGAACUGUGAAAUGUAGCCUAAUCAUCCUGGACUGGAAUACCUGUUCAGAGUUGCCAGAAGUUGGUCGACUCCAUGCAACACAGAUUUUGGAAACAAUUGUUAUGCCACUAAAUAUUAGUUCAGUAAUUCAAAGUAAAGUGAAACUUCAAACAUUUUUUAUGUUAUACAUACAUUUCUUUAGUUUUUAAAGAAAAA